Molecule: RNA transcript, 3155 nt
Organism: Triticum dicoccoides
Lineage: Eukaryota; Viridiplantae; Streptophyta; Magnoliopsida; Poales; Poaceae
Exons: 2
Source: RefSeq, a predicted model, not a curated record
GCUGUGAGAAAAAGAUAAGAAAAGCCAGCGCGAUCCUCUUGCCCAUGCAUGGACAUGGCGGAACCGGCCGUAGUAGAAAGUCUACGACUCGUGCAUUUUACCAGAGAGAUCCUUUCCGCUAGGUAGCCGAGCAAAAAUCUACACGCACUCCGUCGGCGUCGGUGACCAUGGGCUUGCUGGCCGGAGACGGCGGUAGCGGCGGCCUUGGCUACAACACGAGCUGCGGGAAGACCAGCGGCCUGGUGUGGAACCUGACGUCCUCCUAUGCGGACCAGAGCAACGAGGCCUCCAUGCUGUCCGCCACCGUCAUCAUGUUCCUCCUCGCCGCGCUCUUCUUCAACCUCAACCUCUUCAGCGGCCUCUCCGACACCAGCGCCAUCCUCGACCCCAAGGUCCGCGUCGUGCUCUCCAAGGCGCUCUCCCUCUUCCUCCCCGUCAUGUCCUACCUCUUCUCCGAGGCCAAGAACGCCGGCGGCCUCGCGUGCGCCGGCGCCGCCGCGGCGUCCGAGCUCCCGCUGCGGGCCCGGCUGAUCCUCACGUGGAUGCUCCUCGUGGAGCUCCUCGGCAACAAGGUGGAGGAGAUCCGCAUGCAGCGGGGGGACGACGGCUGGCACAGGGGCACCGUGGAGCGCGCCGGCCGCGUCGUCUGGCUCGGGAGCCUCGUCUUCUUCAACCUGCGCGGCGCCGGGCGCAAGUCCGUGCUGGGCAUCCUCUGGCUCCUCUGCGUGGCCAAGCUGGUGCAGAGGGUCACCUUCACCUUGGUGGGGAAGAACUCUCUCGCCUACGGGAAGAACGCACGCCUCAUCAUCUCCUACAUGCAUGCGCCUCAUGACCAGUCGCUGCAGCAGCAGCAUGGAGACGACGCCGACCACGGCGACGAGCUCUUGAAGGGGUGUCGGUACGCGGUGAUGGGAGAAGACAAGCUGGUGAAUAAGCCAACCCCGGCUGGCUACAGCGUCAGAGGUGACAUCACCACCGCCGAGACGACGACGACCGUCGGGAAAAUCUGGCGACUUGCAGAGACCGACCCCCUCCUUGGCUCCGUCGACCAAGAUGGGCGGCUGCGGAGGCUCUGCCUCUCCUUCGCGCUCUUCAAACUCCUUCGCCGGAGUUUCGAGCACCUGCCGCCGAUGAGCGAGGCCGAGACCCGCGACUGCCGGGGCCUCAUCUUCUUCGAAGGAGGCUUGUACAGCAGCAGCAAGAGGAGCAACCGGAGCAAUGGCCAAGGAGAAGUCGAGAAGGCAGCAUUAGCAGCAGCAGAGGAGUUGUUCCAGGUGAUGAAGGACGAGACCAUCUUCCUGAGCGAGUACUACCACUCCGUCGUCCCCGUGGCCUUGGCGAGCCCCUUCUUCCUGCUCGCAAACUACCUGCUCCUCCCGGCCAUGGUGCUGCUCCUGUGCCUCGUCAUCGUCGUCCUCUGCGGCAACGGCGACGUGCUCUUCGCUUUCCACAGCCUGAGGAGCGACAACUACAGCGUCUCGUUCGGGGUGGUCAGGAUGGCGAGGUGCCUCUUGACGAGAGUCCUCAGUUCCCCGUCGGUCUUCUUCUCCACCAUCGACCUCUCCAUCACCUUGCUCCUCUUCCUCGUGCUGGUGUACGAGCAGGUGUGGGAGUUUGUGGUCUUCCUCUUCUCCAACUGGUUCCUCGUGUCCAUGCUCCACGGGUACGCCGCCAAGCCCCACUGGCGCCGGAGCGCCACCUUCAGCUGGGCCAUCCGCCGCAUGCUCUGGGUGCGGAGCAAGAUGAGCCACCCGGACAUCACCAUGAGGCAGUUCUCCGCGCUGAGGUCCUGCCGUCUCGGCCGCCAACUGAGGAUGGUGCCGGCCGUCUCGCUGACGCUGCCGACCAUCGCCGUGCCAAAGGAGGUGAAGCAUUCCAUCGCCGAGUACUUAUCAGCGACGUCGCUGCAGGAGGAGGACGACUACGACCCCACCGCCACUCGUCGUGGUCUUCUCAGCAACGGCCAGCUCGCGGUCGCCGAGUACGGGGAGCUCCGGCGUGCGUGCAAGACCGAGAGCAUCGCCGAGGUGAUCCUCGCGUGGCACAUCGCCACCUGCCUCUUCGAGGAGAAAUUUCCGUCACCGUGCGCCUCGCCCUCGCGUGACAUGGUUGUGGCGACGACGCUGUCCAAGUACUGCGCCUACCUGGUAGCCUUCCACCCGGAGCUACUGCCGGAAAACGAGGAGAGCACAGAGCGCGUCUUCGAGAUCAUGGAGGAAGAUCUGAGGCGUACGGUCGGCUUCUGGCGCUACCACCUCACGGCGGCGGUGGCGCCGCUGCUGGGCUCCGGGUACGAGCAGAUCAUGCGCCUGGAGGAGAAGCCGAACCUGGCCCAGGCGCUGGAGUUGGCGGAGAUGUCGGCGCUGCAGAGGGGGGCCAUCCUGGAGCGCGCGCUGGAGAAGGAAGCCAAGUGCGCCGCCGGCGUGGAGGGGAUGUGGAAGGUGCUGGCUGAUCUGUGGGUGCAGCUCAUGGUGUACGUGGCACCGUCGGGGGGCGAGGAGCACGUCAUGGGGCACGCCAAGGUGCUGCCGGAGGGCGGCGAGUUCGUCACCGUGCUCUGGGCGCUGGCCACGCACAUCGGCAUGCGCCGCGCGGCGCCGGUGGCUGUCGGUAGCAUGGAACAUGUUUAGGAGGAGGGUUAUGUGUGAAUUUAUUAUAGAUGAUGUAGGUGUUACCUUUAAGUGUUGUGUCAGUGAGUUGUGUGAUCAGAAUGAUUUCCCUACCACGGGGAUGGACUCCGGCAGGUCGAACUCGGCGAUCUUCGCGGCGGCGGCAUCGACGGGAUCCAGUCGACUGCCACGCGGCCGCCGGCGAGCUUCAGCUGCAGCUUCUCGGGGCGGAGCAUCACCACCACGGCCCGAACGAUCACUGCCACGGCCAGCACGGUCACCAUGGACGCCACCGCCCACCGCGCCACGUACAGCCAUCUGAACCUUCUGGUCGCCGCCUUGCUCUGGUCGGUGGCUGCCAUAUGCAUCAGUCUGGAACUCUGGAGUACUGGCUAAGCUACAGUCGUUAGAGAUGUACACGUAGCAUGCAUCAAUUAGCUAGCUACCACUGCGUACGUCUUCGUGAAUGAGAUCCACUUCCGCUAUCUAUUUAUAGAUAAUUUGCUCUCGGCGAGCGAUAUCCGUUGAAUUAUGCGCGCACAUGUA